Molecule: ribosomal RNA, 462 nt
Filed under: uncultured bacterium
Lineage: Bacteria
Description: bacterial SSU rRNA
Rfam family: Bacterial small subunit ribosomal RNA
Source: RNAcentral
CGCUGGCGGCGUGCCUAACACAUGCAAGUCGAGCGGGGUCCAUCCGGUAGCAAUACUGGGGAAGACCUAGCGGCGAACGGGUGAGUAACACGUGAGAAACCUGCCCCGAAGUCUAGGAUAACCCGAGGAAACUCGAGCUAAUACCGGAUGCCUUCUCUGAUCGCAUGGUCGGAUGAAGAAAGAUUUAUCGCUUCGGGAGGGUCUCGCGGCCUAUCAGCUAGUUGCGGGGUAACGGCCCACCAAGGCGUCGACGGGUAGCUGGUCUGAGAGGACGAUCAGCCACACUGGGACUGAGACACGGCCCAGACUCCUACGGGAGGCAGCAGUGGGGAAUAUUGCGCAAUGGGCGAAAGCCUGACGCAGCAACGCCGCGUGCGGGAUGAAGGCCUUCGGGUUGUAAACCGCUUUCAGUGGGGACGAAUUCAGACGGUACCCACAGAAGAAGCCCCGGCCAACUACGUG